UACGGAGGAUCCAAGCGUUAUCCGGAUUUAUUGGGUUUAAAGGGUGCGUAGGCGGCCUGUUAAGUCAGGGGUGAAAGACGGUGGCUCAACCAUCGCAGUGCCCUUGAUACUGACGGGCUUGAAUGGACUAGAGGUAGGCGGAAUGAGACAAGUAGCGGUGAAAUGCAUAGAUAUGUCUCAGAACACCGAUUGCGAAGGCAGCUUACUAUGGUCUUAUUGACGCUGAGGCACGAAAGCGUGGGGAUCAAACAGG
This 253-nucleotide ribosomal RNA is filed under the name uncultured bacterium. RNAcentral's name for it is "partial 16S ribosomal RNA". It matches the Rfam family "Bacterial small subunit ribosomal RNA", at positions 524 to 776 of the family's 1533-position model. The record is from RNAcentral.